AUGUUUAUCCCUGAUGUCUGGAAAUUGAGAGUUCCCCCUAAAAUUCAUGUAUUUCUCUGGCUUCUCUCCAAAAACAAAUUGAUUACUAGGGAUAACCUUAGGAAGAGACACAUCAUCAAACCCCUUGAUUGUGUUUACUGCUUAGAACAAGAGUCUUGUUCUCACCUAUUUUUUGAAUGUAUAGUUGCUAAACAUCUCUAGGCCCACAAUGAGGAAUAUUUCUCUAGUCAGAUUGGCUCAUCCUUCGAAUCUGUCGCCAGAUUCUGGAUUGCUACCAAAAAGUGCUCAGUUUUAAACAUUGUUAGCUCAGCUGUCCUUUGGUGCCUCUGGAAAUAUAGAAAAGCUAUGAUUUUCAGUAACACCUCCUGGAUUUCCAUUCCUCAGGUCUUGAGGUUGAUCAGGAACAUGGUGAGGAACUGGUCGAUUCUCUCCUCCGAAUCGGACAAGGACAAGUUGAUGAGCUUCGUGGAAACCCUAACAAGAUCCCUCCAGAAACCGUUGGCGAUCACUUGUGGCUGA
This 519-nucleotide ribosomal RNA is filed under the name Triticum aestivum (bread wheat). RNAcentral describes it as "partial small subunit ribosomal RNA". Lineage: Eukaryota; Viridiplantae; Streptophyta; Magnoliopsida; Poales; Poaceae. The record is from RNAcentral.